CGGCACAUACAACUUGGAAGAGAAGGAUCUGGAUCCAAAGGGUCAAAUUUGGUAAGACCAUCAGAUUGGUAUAAUUAAAACUGUUCAUCAAUAGCAGUGUGAUUGUACUUAUUUAGGCGCUUAUUUUGGUGUACUUCUUCCCAAACACAGUGCCAGGUAUAAUGAUUUGAGAAGGCAUACUCAAAGCCAGUUUGCCAAACAAAAUGAUCAAUUAUCAACAUUGGAUCGGUUGAGAGCCUCACUUUGCUAUCUAGCCAAAUAGAGUACCUAAAAAUUGCCGCAAGAGGAGGACAAAUUAAUCCUCAGUUGGAGCCAGAUAGACUAAGAAUAAAAGUCCAGCUAGGGAUAUGAAAAAUCACCUAGAAGAAGGAAAGAGGCAACGUGUCAAAAUCUUUGGUACUUUCCCCUUUCUACUCAUAUCUAUGUAUGGUAAGUUCUUGAUGACAACUAAUUUCUACAAUCCAACAAAUCCACCAUCAUCAGGUGUGUUUCUUUCUUUUGAGAGUGUCGAAAGAGUUCCCUCAUCAACAAACAUAACAAAACACACGUUUUUCUUUGAAUACUCACUGAUCUGAAAAGGUAAUGAUUAAUCAAACGUAAGCACAUGUUGCUAUAUCCUUACAUACUCUUCUGCUUUCCAAAGAUACCAUCUGACAAAUCAGUAGAAUUUUAUUAGAGAAAACUGAUGUAUCCAGGAUACAUGUUUUAAAAAGUCUUUGAUCUUCACGGAGUUAUUCAACAUUUCUGAUAUAAGUUUUUUAUGCAACUGCCAUUUCAGAGAACAGAGAACAACAAAUGGGGUUGAAACAGCAAGGUCGUUAGAAUGGGAAUGAGGAGAAAAGGAAUCUAUCGUCCUUCCAGGUGGUUUAAUAACUUUGAAAGGAAUCUAUUUUGCUACAAUGUCGUUAUUAGUAAUUAUCUAUGAUCGAGGCUGCACUAAUUCUUGUUACAAUGUCGUAAAUUAUCCAUUUUGACCACACAAGUAUAACUUAUCUUCCCAAUAUCUACUUACUGGAAACUCUCUUAUUAAUAAGCUCAAACAAA
Molecule: long non-coding RNA, 1044 nt
Filed under: Capsicum annuum
Lineage: Eukaryota; Viridiplantae; Streptophyta; Magnoliopsida; Solanales; Solanaceae
Description: long non-coding RNA (CANN_LNC016978)
Source: RNAcentral